UGGGGAAUUUUGGACAAUGGGCGCAAGCCUGAUCCAGCCAUGCCGCGUGCAGUAUGAAGGCCUUCGGGUUGCAAACUGCUUUUGUACGGAACGAAAAGACUCUGGUUAAUACCUGGGGUCCAUGACGGUACCGUAAGAAUAAGCACCGGCUAACUACGUGCCAGCAGCCGCGGUAAUACGUAGGGUUCGAGCGUUAAUCGGAAUUACUGGGCGUAAAGCGUGCGCAGGCGGUUAUGUAAGACAGAUGUGAAAUCCCGGGGCUCAACCUGGGAAAUGCAUUUGUGACUGAAUAGCUAGAGUACGGGAGAGGGGGAUGGAAUUGCGCGUGUAGCAGUGAAAUGCGUAGAUAUGCGGAGGAACACCGAUGGCGAAGGCAAUCCACUGGGCCUGUACUGACGCUCAGGCACGAAAGCGUGGGGAGCAAACA
Molecule: ribosomal RNA, 427 nt
Filed under: uncultured bacterium
Lineage: Bacteria
Description: bacterial SSU rRNA
Rfam family: Bacterial small subunit ribosomal RNA
Source: RNAcentral